This 17-nucleotide ribosomal RNA is filed under the name Xeromphalina austroandina. RNAcentral describes it as "partial large subunit ribosomal RNA". Lineage: Eukaryota; Fungi; Basidiomycota; Agaricomycetes; Agaricales; Mycenaceae. The record is from RNAcentral. RNAcentral also lists the same sequence under 12 other names.
UUUGACCUCAAAUCAGG